CCUCACGUGGGAGGUGGGGGGAGGUUCUCAGUGAAGGUGCAGGGCGGGGACGAGGAAGAGCUCCCUGAGUUGAGAGGAGAUAAUUGGUGGGCUGUGUGUGGUGAGUGCCACAUUGUCUGUGAGGGACCCCCAGAGCCACACAGAAGCAGCAGCAGCAGCAGCAGGAGGAGGAGGAAAUGGCAUCCACCUUCUACCUCACCCAGUGUCACCGGGGCCUCCUCCUCCUCCAGCAGCUGGCCAGGGUGCAGGGACAGGAUGAGCAAGCAGGUGGUGACAGAGAGGGUGGCCAGCUUGUCCCUCCCUCCUGCCAACCAGCCACAGCACUGGCAGUUGCUGCAGUGAGACUGCCCAGGCACAAGUUUGUGCACGUGUCCAGGACGUGAAGGUGAUGGGAACGUGUCCUG
Molecule: long non-coding RNA, 404 nt
Organism: Scylla paramamosain (green mud crab)
Lineage: Eukaryota; Metazoa; Arthropoda; Malacostraca; Decapoda; Portunidae
Exons: 3
Source: RefSeq, a predicted model, not a curated record